This 254-nucleotide ribosomal RNA is filed under the name uncultured bacterium. RNAcentral's name for it is "partial 16S ribosomal RNA". It matches the Rfam family "Bacterial small subunit ribosomal RNA", at positions 524 to 776 of the family's 1533-position model. The record is from RNAcentral.
UACAGGGGGUGCAAACGUUGCUCGGAAUCAUUGGGCGUAAAGCGCACGUAGGCGGUUCGUUAUGUCGGACGUGAAAGCCCUUGGCUUAACCGAGGAAGUGCAUCCGAAACUGGCGAGCUAGAGUACGGAAAGAGGAUCGCGGAAUUCCCGGUGUAGAGGUGAAAUUCGUAGAUAUCGGGAGGAACACCGGUGGCGAAGGCGGCGAUCUGGGUCGAUACUGACGCUGAGGUGCGAAAGCGUGGGGAGCAAACAGG